Molecule: transfer RNA, 535 nt
Filed under: uncultured cyanobacterium
Lineage: Bacteria; Bacillati; Cyanobacteriota
Description: partial 16S-23S intergenic spacer
Rfam family: tRNA (bases 206-278)
Source: RNAcentral
AGACAACAAAAUGUUUAAUAUUAUUAUUUUGUCACCUUAGGUCGAUCGGCAUCUCACGUUUUUAAUUUAUUAAGAAUUUCAUUUCCUAAGUUUUUCUAGGUCACACCCAUUAUUUUUCCUGGGCCAUAGCUCAGGUGGUUAGAGCGCACCCCUGAUAAGGGCGAGGUCCCUGGUUCAAGUCCAGGAUGGCCCAUAUCUCUAUGUUGGGGGUAUAGCUCAGUUGGUAGAGCGCCUGCUUUGCAAGCAGGAUGUCAGCGGUUCGAGUCCGCUUACCUCCACUGAUUACCACCUCUUCCAUAAUCGGUAGGAAGGAAAUGUUUUGAGUUGUGAUCAAAUUCUGGAAGAAUCUAGCUUCCUAAUGAAAUCAUUAAGAUGCUGGACUCAUUGAAUUAAUUUCAUUGUUUUCAGAGAACCUUGACAACUGCAUAGAUUAUUUUUAAGGACAAUAAGCAUCUUUAGUGAUGCAGAUUUUUUAUUUGUGCGAAUGCAUUAAUAACAAUUCUAUUAAGCUGAUGCUUCAAUUUUUGAAGUUAUU